AUUGAACGCUGGCGGCAGGCCUAACACAUGCAAGUCGAACGGUAACAGGAAGAAGCUUGCUUCUUUGCUGACGAGUGGCGGACGGGUGAGUAAUGUCUGGGAAACUGCCUGAUGGAGGGGGAUAACUACUGGAAACGGUAGCUAAUACCGCAUAACGUCGCAAGACCAAAGAGGGGGACCUUCGGGCCUCUUGCCAUCGGAUGUGCCCAGAUGGGAUUAGCUAGUAGGUGGGGUAACGGCUCACCUAGGCGACGAUCCCUAGCUAGUCUGAGAGGAUGACCAGCCACACUGGAACUGAGACACGGUCCAGACUCCUACGGGAGGCAGCAGUGGGGAAUAUUGCACAAUGGGCGCAAGCCUGAUGCAGCCAUGCCGCGUGUAUGAAGAAGGCCUUCGGGUUGUAAAGUACUUUCAGCGGGGAGGAAGGGAGUAAAGUUAAUACCUUGGCUCAUUGACGUUACCCGCAGAAGAAGCACCGGCUAACUCCGUG
Molecule: ribosomal RNA, 490 nt
Filed under: uncultured bacterium
Lineage: Bacteria
Description: partial 16S ribosomal RNA
Rfam family: Bacterial small subunit ribosomal RNA
Source: RNAcentral